This 1121-nucleotide long non-coding RNA is filed under the name Gallus gallus (chicken). Lineage: Eukaryota; Metazoa; Chordata; Aves; Galliformes; Phasianidae. The record is from RNAcentral.
GGCGAUUCUUCCUUUCUUGUUGUCUCUCGCUGCAUUUCCUGCCAGUUCUAGAAUUUCAGCUGCUAGAUACUCUAUGACUGCUGCCAUGUAAACCGGUGCUCCAACACCUAUCCGGUACUUGUAUGUUCCUUUCUUUAGGUAGCGCAUCAUCCUCCCCACAGGGAAAAUAACACCUGCCCUGCUGGAGCGUGACAGCUUGGACAUUUUCUUCUUCCCACUGCGGCCUGACAUCUUGCAGCUUUGUGCUUUUCAGUUUGCUAGCGAUUCUUAUUCCCUUGCUCCAAGCUGACAGCUGCCGCUCCCGCCGCCUCCUCUCGGCGUGCCGCGCUCCGUCUCUCGCCGCCCCCCGGCCUCCGCUCGCUCCGCCUCAGCCGCCGCUCCCCGCCCGUGCCGUACGUUGGGAUGGCGAUGGCGGCGGCUCCUCUCGAGGGGGGUGGCAGGGGUUUCCUCCCGCGCCGCAUACCGCCUCUAGGAGGAGUCAGUCCCCGGCCCCGCUGCAGCCCCCCUCUCGCCGCCGCCCUCCCCGGGCCCCAGGGCCGCCGCCGCCUCCUCCCCCGCGUCCCCCGCCGGGCUGCGGGCAGCGGGCCCGUCCGGAGCUCCGGCCGCCUCCCGAACAAAGGGACCCGGCGCUCUUUGUGUCGCGGGAGCGCCUCGGGUGCGGGCGUGCGGCACGGCCGCGACCACCGCCGGGCUGCCGGCUGAAUGAAAGCGCGGGGCCCGCUCUUAUUUCUCCCCGCCGUUGUGCGGAUGGGAGACCUUUGCGCUACGCCCUGAGCGCUUGCGUAGCGAGUCUGACGGCUGUGCCGAAGCGAUCGGACGUGAAAACGGGCGCCUUAACGCACCUCCACAGCUGAUCUCGGGGAGAGCCUUGCGUAUAACGAGGUGCUGGUGUCAUUCGUGCGCAAACACCGCACGCUGGCUUCUCCUGGGUGAUACUGGGGGCUGCAGGGAAAGCACAGCGCUGAGCAGGUGGCUCCAGCGCGGCCAUAGAGGCACCCGUGCAUCCAGCAGUCUGGGUGCGGAGAGGUGGCUCUCGCCCUCCGUUACAGGGGGCCACGCUCCCCAGGCAGCCCUAGGAGCAGCAAGGCAAAAGGCCAACUACAGCAAAGACCCGAGCCCCG